RNAcentral lists this ribosomal RNA (372 nucleotides) under uncultured organism. RNAcentral's name for it is "bacterial SSU rRNA". It matches the Rfam family "Bacterial small subunit ribosomal RNA", at positions 526 to 896 of the family's 1533-position model. The record is from RNAcentral.
CAGAGGGGGCAAGCGUUGUUCGGAAUUACUGGGCGUAAAGGGCGCGUAGGCGGCCUUCUAAGUCGAACGUGAAAUCCCCGGGCUCAACCCGGGAACUGCGUCCGAUACUGGAAGGCUUGAAUCCGGGAGAGGGAUGCGGAAUUCCAGGUGUAGCGGUGAAAUGCGUAGAUAUCUGGAGGAACACCGGUGGCGAAGGCGGCAUCCUGGACCGGCAUUGACGCCGAGGCGCGAAAGCUAGGGGAGCAAACGGGAUUAGAUACCCCGGUAGUCCUAGCCCUAAACGAUGUAUGCUUGGUGUGGCGGGUAUCGAUCCCUGCCGUGCCGAAGCUAACGCAUUAAGCAUUCCGCCUGGGGAGUACGGUCGCAAGGCUG